UUUGGAAAAAUUAGUCCCCUGUAUGUUCAAAUCCAUCUUUUUCUUUGCCUUAGGUCUUUUAUGUCAUUAUUUAAAUUGUUGGUGCACACGUGCUCUUUAUCAGUUGGUUGUCUACCAAGGUUACCAGGUGUAAUGCACCGCUUCUUUCAGGGAGUGAUAUGUGUUUUGUCCACGUGUCACUCACCACCCAAAAAAUCCAUUCGUUUGUGUCACACCGCCUACUCUUCCAAACUACCCUCUUAUCUGUGCUCUCUAUCUCUCUUCUUCUUCCACCAUUCCUCUUUUCUUUGUCCUUCGUUCUGUCUCUGCCCAGAUAUUCCCCGAUUUCAUCUCUUAUUCGUUUCCGACUGGAAUCUUCAUUUACAUCUACUUCAGGCAUCUUCCAUCAUCAUAAAUUUCAUUCGCAAAUUCCGAUUGCUAUUGCAAUGCAGUUUCACUCUUCCAAACUCUUUACCUCUUCUACCCCUCAUUUUCUUUUCGGAUUUUUUUACCGCAAGUAUUGUUCAAUGACCUUUUUUCUUCACGGCCUAUUGAUGUUUUCCAUUUGAUGUCGACUUACUCUUUUUCAAUUAUUUCAAUCUACUUCUAUUCAUAUUGUUUGCUUCCGAAUCCAGACAUAUACGUUUGGAUGCAACAUGUUUCUCUCCAGUCGAUUUUAUUUCGGUUCUUCUUUACUCGGAUUCUGAGAUCUUUAGUUCCCUUUAUGGAAACUCAGUAGAGUAUGGUGAUGAACUUCGUGUUGGAAGAAGGUUCCUGCUGAUGUAGAGUCGUCCUCCAAAGGAAACUCCUACCAACUUGCGGAAUCAUGGAAUCUGAGGAUGGAGAGGGAAGGAUCCCGUAAUUGAAAACAAGGAAGAUGUUUUCUUACCCAUUGAUUAUGUUUUUCACGCAGUGUCAACAGGUAAUUGAGACCAACCGACUUCGAAGCACAUGGAUUUUUUGGAGCACUAUUUAGGGUUUUAAUAAGUUGAUUCAAUUUACAAGUUUGAUGAUGGUGAUGGAGUUAGGUUUAGUCAUUGAGCAUAUAAUAUUCAACAUGGAAUUGAUGUAGACGUUGUUGAUAGUGAAGAUCGUGAUAGCGACGAUAACGAAGAAGAUGAAAUUGAAGUUGAUGAGUAUGAGAAAGAUGAUUUCAUAGUAGAUGAUGUUGAUGAAGAUGAGCAGGAUGCUUAUGAACAUGAAAGGGCAGAUAUUGAUGAUGAGAGGAAAAAGAAUAAGAAAAGAAAGAAUCGAAGCGGAACAAUGUUCUUGAUGAAGACGACUGUGAGUUCCUUCAAGAUAACAUCAUUGGUAUUAGGCAUCGAAAUUUUGUGAGAUUUUGCGUUUAUGUUUUGCUAUGAAUGGAUGUGUUAGUGUCUGCAGCUGUGUAUCUUACUGUGUGUGUGUGUACGUGUGUUUAUGUAUACAUCUAAUUUUUUUUGCUUAAGUGGUAAUAGUAAACUUUCGGUUCUACUUCCAUUUGAUAAUGUUACAGACUAAUAAAGGAGAGGAACUUCUACAUCCAAUUGGUAAUAGAUGCUUUAAGAAAGUGGUUGACUUAGAGGACAAGUAGAUGCGAAACAAAUACUACAAAUGGAAAUUAAAGGCUUUUCAUCGCAAAUGGAGAGAUGUUUGGGGAAUUUGUUGUAUCGGAUUGCACUAUUAUAAGAUAUGAACAUGACGAUUCUAGACGAUUAUGAGAUGGAAGAUCUUGGUUAUCUUGCUGACCUUAACCAUGACGGUACUCAGUAUCCUUAAAAUAUUUUUCAUGACUGUAUUGCUUCAAUUUAGAAAUUGAUGAUGAUGAUAGGUAAUGAAAAAUUAAAAGAAAUCAUCAUUAUCGGUCAUUGUAUACAACCGACCUUAUUUUUUUCUUCAAUAAAGCUCACAAUUUCACAAAUAUUGUAUAAAACAAACGAUUCACACAUUUAUGUAUAAUUACAGGAUAAGUACUUGUUGUAGGCAAGCCCAAUGUUGGAAAAAGUACACAUUCAAACUGGAUAUCCAUGGAAAAUUACUUUUACCCAACUCUCUAAAAAAUCCCAAGAACCCUUUUUCACCACCAUUUGACCCUUUUUCAUGACCAAAACAUGAACUUGAUUUCACCGUCUCCAGUAUUUUUCAGAUAUUGAUCCAACGAUUUUGGCUUUUAAAGCUUCUUUUGGACAUGAUGUCGUUCAUUCAUAGAUCUUUAUUUUAGCUUAUAUGGAAAAAAACAUGCUCUUUAGAGGUGGAAUUUAUGUAGAUCUAGACUUCAUAUCACCUACUAUUAGUAAUAUAAUUUACAGAUCAUGAAGACACUAACCAUUUCAAUAUUUCUACUCUUUUUCUAUACAUUAAUAUAACUCAUGAUGUCAAUGGAACCUUAGGUUUAUUUUUUUUCCUCAGGUUGACAUUUUAACAAC
This is a long non-coding RNA of Lactuca sativa (garden lettuce), 2384 nucleotides long. RefSeq lists it as uncharacterized. The record is from RefSeq and is a predicted model, not a curated record. Lineage: Eukaryota; Viridiplantae; Streptophyta; Magnoliopsida; Asterales; Asteraceae.